RNAcentral lists this ribosomal RNA (253 nucleotides) under uncultured prokaryote. Its description in RNAcentral is "partial 16S ribosomal RNA". It matches the Rfam family "Bacterial small subunit ribosomal RNA", at positions 524 to 776 of the family's 1533-position model. The record is from RNAcentral.
UACAGAGACUGCGAGCGUUAUUCGGAUUCACUGGGCGUAAAGGGUGCGCAGGCGGCCAGGUGUGUGAGGCGUGAAAGCCCGAGGCUCAACCUCGGAAUUGCACCUCAAACUACAUGGCUAGAGUACUGGAGAGGGUAACGGAAUUCACGGUGUAGCAGUGAAAUGCGUAGAUAUCGUGAGGAAGACCAGUGGCGAAGGCGGGUCUCUGGACAGUUCCUGACACUGAGGCACGGAGGCCAGGGGAGCAAACGGG